UCCUCUGUAGUUCAGUCGGUAGAACUGCGGACUGUUAAUCCGUAUGUCACUGGUUCGAGUCCAGUCAGAGGAGCCA
Molecule: transfer RNA, 76 nt
Filed under: Citrobacter freundii
Lineage: Bacteria; Pseudomonadati; Pseudomonadota; Gammaproteobacteria; Enterobacterales; Enterobacteriaceae
Also listed under: 5 other names
Description: tRNA-Asn
Rfam family: tRNA
About the family: Transfer RNA (tRNA) molecules are approximately 80 nucleotides in length. Their secondary structure includes four short double-helical elements and three loops (D, anti-codon, and T loops).
Source: RNAcentral